This 250-nucleotide unclassified non-coding RNA is filed under the name Hevea brasiliensis (rubber tree). Lineage: Eukaryota; Viridiplantae; Streptophyta; Magnoliopsida; Malpighiales; Euphorbiaceae. The record is from RNAcentral.
GCAAAGUUUAAAAAGAAAAAUAUUCGAUCUCUUAUUUCCCUCCCCUCUUCCUUGAAAUUUCUUUACCUGGUAAAACAGAAUAAUGAUUAAAUUCUCUAGGAUAAUUGCAUAAAAGUUCCCUAGAAAAGAAAAAUGUUGGCUUCAUUUCUGUUUUGUGGCAAAGAGAAACUAUGGAAAAGGAAAAUAUAAUGUAAUUUGAAGGUUCCCCAUCUCCAUGGUUGUCCCCAAAAAAUAAAUAAAAGAGAAAAAA